RNAcentral lists this ribosomal RNA (195 nucleotides) under uncultured bacterium. RNAcentral describes it as "partial 16S ribosomal RNA". It matches the Rfam family "Bacterial small subunit ribosomal RNA", at positions 326 to 539 of the family's 1533-position model. The record is from RNAcentral.
ACGCUCGACACCUACGGGCAGCAGUGGGGAAUAUUGCACAAUGGGGGAAACCCUGAUGCAGCGACGCCGCGUGAGCGAAGAAGUAUUUCGGUAUGUAAAGCUCUAUCAGCAGGGAAGAAAAUGACGGUACCUGACUAAGAAGCCCCGGCUAACUACGUGCCAGCAGCCGCGGUAAUCUGAGCGGGCUGGCAAGGC